Long non-coding RNA from Oreochromis aureus, 1149 nucleotides. The record is from Ensembl. Lineage: Eukaryota; Metazoa; Chordata; Actinopteri; Cichliformes; Cichlidae.
UGAAGGAGAACUGCCGGCUGUUGGACUGUUGAAGUGGGAGAGGACAACAGAGUGAGACCCAGAACAUCACAGCUGAGUCUGGACAGAACGUCACUCUGACAUGUCGAGCUCCAAACAACAUCCAGACUAUGGAGUGGAGCAGAGCUGACCUGGGGAGAGAAUAUGUUUUUUUGUAUCGGGAUGGGAGGGAAACUACAGUGAACCAGCAUCGCUCUUUUAAAGGCCGGGUGGCUCUACAGGACAAACAGAUGAAGAAUGGAAACAUGUCAGUGAUUCUGAAGAAUGUGAUGAUUAGUGACCGUGGAACAUACGAGUGUCGUGUGAAGGCAAACAAAAAAAAACGCAGGAAGAGAGCUAAUCUGAAGACCGACCCCAUCUGUAGCAUCUACCUGAGUGUUGUUGAUCCUCCAGGUCCAACAGGAGAACCAAAGGUGAAUGGACCUGUUGGACUGAUAGUUGGUCUGGUAGUUUCCUGUGUCCUCAUUGUUUCUGCUUUUGUUGGGUUUGUGAUCUACAGGAAGCAUAAAGGAGAAAAGAGUCAGGGUUCACACUAACCUACAUACUGAUGAUCUGCAGCACAUCCAGUAUCUCAGACCUCUGAACAGCUAAACUUUGAGUCUCCUGCUGCUGUCCCAACUUCCAAAUGAUAUCAGUGAACAGGGGGACAGACACCAGGGACCUCACAAAGAAAUUAAUUAUGAAGUGUCACCAUGAAAUGUUAUUCUGUCUUAUCUCUGGGUAUGGAGAUGAUGGAAAGUCUUUGUGGAGAAGGCAGAGAAAAGAAAAUCUAAAAGAAAAGAGAGAAUUAUUGUCUAAUUUUGCUGCAUUCAGUUUACAUAGUAAAAUUAGACUUGCCGUUGUUCAUAAGUUCCAAUUUUAACAAAAACGUAGUGCUUCUGUUUAUUACUAAUCUUAUGGCUGCAGAUUAGUGUCUCACACUUUAACUCAGCACUUUAUCAGGCUUUAACACAGCCUGAUAAAGGAUAUGUGGAAAUUGCUUCAGUUUGUCAGUAGAUCAAGUGUGAAAUGCAAUUAAUUUGACUGAUUCAACGGUCAUUCUUGGAGGUUGUUCAGCAACUUAAAUGUGACCUAAAAGGAGACCAGAAUCAAAUGUAAAAACAUGUAUAUAUACAUGCACAUAUACAUGCA